AGGGCACAGGGCGGAUGCCUUGGCACUAAGAGCCGAUGAAAGACGUGAUAAGCUGCGAUAAGCUUCGGGGAGGAGCAAAUAUCCCGUGAUCCGGAGAUGUCUGAAUGGGGAAACCCGCAUGAGCAGACCUCAUGCAUCCAUACGCCAAUCCAUAACGUAUGGAAGGGAACCCGGGGAACUGAAACAUCUAAGUACCCGGAGGAAAAGAAAGAAACAUCGAUUCCGUAAGUAGCGGCGAGCGAACGCGGAGGAGCCUAAACCGGUGUGCGUGCAUGCCGGGGUCAUGGACUGCAUUUAAGAUUCAGCGAAGUUAACAGAACGGUUUUGGGAAAGCCGGCCGGAGAGGGUGAAAGCCCCGUACGUGAAAGCUGAUGAGACUGAGCAGGAUCCAGAGUACCACGAGACACGUGGAACCUUGUGGGAAAUCAGGGGGACCACCCCCUAAGGCUAAAUACUACUUAGUGACCGAUAGCGCAUAGUACUGUGAAGGAAAGGUGAAAAGGACCCCGGGAGGGGAGUGAAAGAGAACCUGAAACCCUGUGUCUACAAGCUGUGGAAGCACUUUAUAUGUGCGACCGCGUACUUUUUGUAGAACGGUCCGGCGAGUUACGCUUACUGGCAAGGUUAAGCACUUCAGGUGCGGAGCCGUAGGGAAACCAAGUCUUAAGAGGGCCAGAGUCAGUAGGAGUAGACCCGAAACCGGGUGAUCUAUCCAUGUCCAGGUUGAAGCUGCCGUAAGAGGUAGUGGAGGACCGAACCCACAUCCGUUGAAAAGGGUGGGGAUGAGGUGUGGAUAGGGGAGAAAUUCCAAUCGAACCCGGAGAUAGCUGGUUCUCCUCGAAAUAGCUUUAGGGCUAGCCUCGAUACAGAUUUGCGGAGGUAGAGCACUGAAUUUCCUAGGGGGCGUCAAAGCCUACCGAAGAAUAUCAAACUCCGAAUGCCGUGUAGAUAUCACCGGGAGUCAGACUGCACGAGAUAAGUUGGGCGGUCAAAAGGGAAAGAGCCCAGACCUUCAGUUAAGGUCCCCAAGUGCGCGUUAAGUGGAAAAGGAUGUGGGAUUUCGAAGACAACCAGGAUGUUGGCUCAGAAGCAGCCAUCCAUUCAAAGAGUGCGUAAUAGCUCACUGGUCGAGAGGUCCUGCGCCGAAAAUGUCCGGGGCUGAAACGCGCCACCGAAACUAAGGAACCGAAAGGUUGGUAGAGGAGCAUUGCAUGCGGGAAGAAGCAGUACCGUAAGGAGCUGUGGACUGCAUGGAAGAGAGAAUGCCGGAAUGAGUAGCGAGAUAGAGGUGGGAAUCCUCUAGGCCGAAUAUCCAAGGUUUCCAGGGUAAAGCUGAUCUGCCCUGGGUGAGUCGGGACCUAAGGUGAGGGCGAGAGCCGUAGCCGAUGGACAACAGGUUGAUAUUCCUGUACUGCAGUAUGACAGAACUGUGGGGACACGUAAGGAGAGCGGGAGCCGGGAAUGGAAAGCCCGGUACAAGCGAGGUACCAGUAUGGUAGGAAAAUCCGCCAUGCAAUGGGAAGACGUGAUGUGGAGUGAAUUUUAGUAACGAAGCCCGUGAGCCAUGCGUCAAGAAAAGCCGCUAUCGUUCAUAUUGUACCCGUACCGUAAACCGACACAGGUGGAUGAGGAGAGAAUCCUAAGGCCGGCGGAAGAAGUAUUGUUAAGGAACUCGGCAAAAUGACCCCGUAACUUCGGGAGAAGGGGUGCCUGCGAGAGCAGGCCGCAGAGAAUAGGCUCAAGCAACUGUUUAGCAAAAACACAGGUCUAUGCGAAACCGAAAGGUGAGGUAUAUGGGCUGACGCCUGCCCGGUGCUGGAAGGUUAAGAGGAGAGGUUAGCGCAAGCGAAGCUUUGAAUUUAAGCCCCAGUAAACGGCGGCCGUAACUAUAACGGUCCUAAGGUAGCGAAAUUCCUUGUCGGGUAAGUUCCGACCCGCACGAAAGGCGUAAUGAUUUGAGCGCUGUCUCGACAAUGCAUCCGGUGAAAUUGAAGUACCAGUGAAGAUGCUGGUUACCUGCGCCAGGACGGAAAGACCCCAUGGAGCUUUACUCCAGUUUGGUACUGGGACUCGGUAUUGCAUGUACAGGAUAGGUGGGAGGCUGAGAGACAGUAACGCCAGUUAUUGUGGAGCCGCUGUUGGGAUACCACCCUUGCAGUAUUGGGUUUCUAACCAGCCGCCGUGACCCGGCGGUGGGACAAUGCCAGACGGGGAGUUUGACUGGGGCGGUCGCCUCCGAAAGGGUAUCGGAGGCGCCCAAAGGUUCCCUCAGAAUGGACGGAAACCAUUCGAAGAGUGCAAAGGCAGAAGGGAGCUUGACUGCGACACCGACGGGUGGAGCAGGUACGAAAG
RNAcentral lists this ribosomal RNA (2352 nucleotides) under human gut metagenome. RNAcentral's name for it is "bacterial LSU rRNA". It matches the Rfam family "Bacterial large subunit ribosomal RNA", at positions 14 to 2405 of the family's 2925-position model. The record is from RNAcentral.